ACUGUACCGAAGGAGCAUAUUAGCAUUCAGAGGACACUGGUCAGACUGCCCGUCGCUGCCGAAAGCCGGACGAAGGAGGAAAAAUGCGGUGCACCUACUGUUCUGGUUCUCAGGGGCGGUGCACCACCACCACGUCGGGCCGGUCAGUGACGGAGUGCUGCUCAUGCGGCCGAGUAGUGGAGGAGCGUCAAGUUCAGCCUCACGAUCUCUUCCUCCUUCGGGCACAAGACAACCCCCUCUGCCUUGUUACUUCUGACCUUUCUUCCAUCCCAUCUCCUACCACCACCACCACCACCACCACCAACAGCAAAGACAACGACGAAGAUGAAGACCCAUUUGAGCCAACGGGAUUUAUCACGGCUUUCUCCACCUGGUCACUCGAGCCUAGCCCUGUAUUCGCCCGUUCUUGCCUCUCCUUCGCCGGCCACCUCGCUGAGCUGGAGCGAGCCCUGGACUCCACUUCGUCUUCUUCUUCGUCGACGCCGUCGAGUUCGUCGGGGCCGGGGGUCGUCGUCGUGGACAAUCUUCGGGCUUAUCUGCAGAUCAUCGACGUCUCGUCGAUAUUGGGUCUAGAUUACGAUAUCUCGGACCAUGCUUUUCAGCUGUUCAGGGACUGUUCUUCUGCUACUUGUUUGAGGAACCGCAGUGUAGAAGCACUUGCAACAGCAGCUCUAGUUCAGGCUAUCAGGGAGGCCCAGGAGCCCAGGACACUCCAGGAAAUUUCAAUUGCAGCUAAUGUUCCCCAGAAGGAGAUAGGGAAAUAUAUUAAAAUACUAGGGGAAGCUCUGCAACUGAGUCAACCCAUUAACAGCAACUCGAUAUCAGUUCACAUGCCAAGGUUUUGCACUCUCCUCCAACUCAACAAAUCUGCUCAGGAGCUAGCAACUCAUAUUGGAGAAGUUGUGAUCAACAAAUGCUUCUGCACUCGUAGGAAUCCAAUUAGCAUCUCUGCAGCUGCUAUUUAUCUGGCCUGUCAACUGGAAGACAAACGCAAAACCCAGGCAGAGAUUUGCAAAGUGACAGGUCUCACUGAGGUCACUCUGCGAAAAGUCUACAAGGAGCUACUGGAGAAUUGGGAUGAUCUACUCCCACCUAACUACACUCCAGCUGUCCCUCCAGAGAAAGCAUUCCCCACAACUGCAAUUACCUCAGGCCGUUCAUCAGCUCCUAGAGUUGAUCCAGUUGAGAUUUCAUCUUCUUCAGACAAAGACAAGCAACUUGAAGUUAAUAAACCUAACAAACUACCUGAAGGUUUGCAGACAGACUAUCAGGGCAAAGGAAAAGAAGAGAUUGAGAGUAAAGGUAAUCCUCAUAUGGUCCAUCACCCUCCUGCAUCAUAUGGAUCAGGACACAGUGAACAUGUGUCAAAUCGUGCAACGACCUUCUGGCAGCCCCAUCAUCUCUAUUCUACGCCAAGGCCAACAGAUGGAGAGAAAAAUCAGAAUGUCAAGCGAGAUAUUGAUAUUAAUGAAACACAGGCUAACCCUCCAGAGGUUGAACAGAAGGUGAACAAAGACCCGAAGGCCGCUACCAUUUCUCAAAGACCAAAGCAGUUUUCUAGUUCCAGCCCAUCAACUGCAGCUGGGGGCUCCCACCCAUGGCCCCUACGCCCACCUAGGCCUCCUUAUGUUUGAUCUCUGUAUCUGUCAGCAAUGGUAUUAGGUUUCUCAAAGUUUAAAGGAAUCAACAAGAUGGGUGCCCCCACAAGAUGUGGUAAACCUGUUCAACCCCAACUUCCUGAGGCUAAAGGAAAAGAGAGGGAAAAUCAUGUGGAGGACAGUAAGAGCUGCAUUGGUUUGGAUGAUAUAGGAAGAAAGGAACAAUACAAUCUUCAAUGAGAAAAGCAGGUCUAAGGAGGAACUAUUGGAAGCUAUCUUCGUGAGAGCUGGACAUUGGGUAAAAAACAUUGGAGCUGUUUAGAUCUUUUCAGUUAAGAACAUCAUUAGAGCUUGGUCUGAGGUGGCGCAAACAGGUAGAAACAUUGAAGAGGUGAGAAUGGAUUGGAAGCCCCCUGCUGUAAAAUAAACUGAAACUGAACUUUGAUGGUAGCUCUAUGGACAACCUGGGAAGAGCAGGUAUUGGGGGAGUGAUGAGAUCAUCAAGCAUUGGUGGUGGUAGUGUAUCAGGUCCGGUGGGAUUGGGAGGCUCAAUUAAGAUGGAAAUUUUGGCACUUUUACAAGGUUUGAGAUUAGUAAACAGCUUGGUCUUAGAAAUUCGGAAGUGGAGGGUGACUCACAACUGGUAAUUCAUUGGGCAAAGCAAGUCAAAGCAGCACCUUGGAAAUAUAGACAUGCUUUUAGGUAAAUUGAUGUUAUUGCAAAGCAAUUAAAUUCACAUUUCAGCUGAGUGAGAAGAACUGCCAAUGGGGCAGCAGAUGUACUAGCUAAACAGGGAGUUAACAGGCCAAAUCUAUUAUGGGAAAACUUGUAAAACUGUUACUGAAGGGUGUUGGAAUCUUCCAACAGUUGUAUUAAGUUUAUUAGUUAAUUUUAAUGAAAUCCUUUUGCUGAGAAAAAAAAAA
Molecule: RNA transcript, 2521 nt
Organism: Nelumbo nucifera (sacred lotus)
Lineage: Eukaryota; Viridiplantae; Streptophyta; Magnoliopsida; Proteales; Nelumbonaceae
Gene: PBRP
Gene name: plant-specific TFIIB-related protein
Source: RefSeq, a predicted model, not a curated record